AACCCAAACUAAUAAAGCCCGGCGUAAAGAGUGUUUUAGAAAGACAUAAAAUAAGACUAAAAUUUAUCUAAGUCGUAAAAAACACCAGAUAAAAUGUACACUAAAACGAAAGUAAUCUUACCAUAUCUGAACACACGAAAGCUAGAACCCAAACUGGGAUUAGAUACCCCACUAUGCCUAGCCAUAAACAUAAAAAUUUUAUAACAAAAAUUCUCGCCCGAGAACUACUAGCUAUAGCUUAAAACUCAAAGGACUUGGCGGUGCUUUACACCCACCUAGAGGAGCCUGUUCUAUAAUCGAUAAACCCCGAUAUACCUCACCACCUCUUGCUAAUC
This 335-nucleotide ribosomal RNA is filed under the name Dasyprocta leporina (Brazilian agouti). Its description in RNAcentral is "partial 12S ribosomal RNA". Lineage: Eukaryota; Metazoa; Chordata; Mammalia; Rodentia; Dasyproctidae. The record is from RNAcentral.